This 467-nucleotide ribosomal RNA is filed under the name uncultured bacterium. RNAcentral's name for it is "partial 16S ribosomal RNA". It matches the Rfam family "Bacterial small subunit ribosomal RNA", at positions 28 to 506 of the family's 1533-position model. The record is from RNAcentral.
GACGAACGCUGGCGGCGUGCUUAACACAUGCAAGUCGAACGGAAAGGCCCUGCUUUUGUGGGGUGCUCGAGUGGCGAACGGGUGAGUAACACGUGAGUAACCUGCUCUUGACUUUGGUAUAACUUCAGGAAAGUGGGGCUAAUACCGGAUAGGAGCUCCUGCUCCAUGGUGGGCGUUGGAAAGUCUCGGCGGUUGGGGAUGGACUCGCGGCUUAUCAGCUUGUUGGUGGGGUAGUGGCUUACCAAGGCUUUGACGGGUAGCCGGACUGAGAGGGUGACAGGCUACAUUGGGACUGGGAUGCGGGCCGGGCUGAUACGUGAGGCAGGAGUGGAGAAUAGAGCAAAAUGGGCGGAAUCGUGAUGGAGCAACGCCGGGUGCGGGAUGCCGGCUUUCGGGUAGGAAACGGCUUUCGCCUGUGACGAAGCGUGAGUGACGGUAAUAGGUAAAGAAGCACCGGCUAACUACGG